AUUUAUUUUUACUUGACAAACUUUUUUUUAUGCUCUUUUGUAAGUGUCAAAGCACCUAAGGAAAUGUGUUAAACUGGAGAAAGUGAGAAGUAUGCAAUGAGACCAGUUCCUGAGGUAAGGGGUAAGAGUUACAAAGAGAGACAAGAGGAAUUGAAUUUAACAACCCUGGAGAACAAAAUGACCAAAGACUAAAGCAUACAAAAUGCUCAGAGGACUUGAUAGGGCAGAUGACAGGUUGUUUGAGAAGCUGGAUACAGGUAAUUGAGGGCACAGGAAGUAUUUUUUCAGUCAGGGUGGUAAUUAGGAUGAUCUCAACUUGGUGGUGGAGGUAGACUCUAUACAUAGUGUUAAUAAUAGGUAUGACAGACUUGACUGAAUAUGGCAGAUUGGACCAGGAGCUGAGACUUGACCCCUGCAAUCAGAGAAGAGUACAGAGGCCAAUUUUGGCCACAAGAAUUUUUUUCUUGUACAUUAGCCUAGUAAGUAUAAUUUGAGUAGUUUUAGUUCUAUCUUCAACACAAAUUUUAUGAUUUUGCAGGGAAUAAAUUGAUGAAUAUAUUGUGUAGGUAACUGAUAAUUAGAAACCUAUUGUUCAUUUUAUACUGUAGUUAUUUGACUUCCACUAUUCAUAAAGGUCUCUCUCUCAACACAUGUACAUCGUUUUAUGAUAAUGGAAUUACUGAUUGCAGUUAAUGAAACAAUAGCUGAAUUUUGUUCAUUGGAAUGAAUAUAAUGUUAUUGGUAGAAAGCAGAUGUUUAUACUGUGUAUUUUACAGAGAAGUGUUUCAAGAAGAGGAAGAGCAGCCGUAAUCAUGGACGAGAAAGAAGAGGAAGAGCAACGGUAACCAUCUGCACUAAAAAUGAUGGAUACAUGCUGAAUGAGCAAGAAAGUUUUUAAGACGAGAAAGAAGAGGAAGAGCAACGGUAACCAUCUGCACUAAAAAUGAUGGAUACAUGCUGAAUGAGCAAGAAAGUUUUUAAGUAAGUUUAUACCUUUAGUAAUAGAUACCUCUGGUGUUACGAACUAAUGUGGGGAGGGGGGGGAUGUUUGUUUAAAGGAAAACAUGUUGGAUUGAGGCACCCAUGUUCUACCGGAGAAAAUACAUAUGCAGUGGAUUUAGCCUUCUGAUUGAUGGACUUUGCAGAACAUCUUAACCUUUUCAAUUUCAAUGUCAUAUUAGGCUUGCAAGCCGGUGUUUGUGCCAUAUUACGCCAAAAUUCUAGCGGUUUCAAAUCUAGCGAGAGAAAGCUGGUAGACCUACAUGUGAAAGAACGGAUCUGCAUGGUCAGUGUGUGCAGUAUAAUAAAAAUCCUGCCACAUGCAGUGCAUAACUCCAAAAAUUUUUCUUAUUUUCAACAAAAUUUGUUAAUUUCUCACCCACUCUCAUUACAAGUGACCAAAAAAUAACCCUGCACUCGAUGCAGGAAGGGGCAAAUUUCUGCCGUGACAUUUUUAAGUAUUCACAGGACUUUGCCCAUGUACAUUGGCCUAAGACAUAAUUUAAAUAGCUUUAACACAAACUUUAACAUACUUUUCCAGGUAAUAAUAUGAAGAAUAUUGUAUUGUGUGGGUUACUCAAAUUUCAAAAUAUAUUGUUCAGUUUAUACUGUAAUCAUUUGACUUGCACUCUUAAAGUCGUGAUAUAAAUCUAAAGCCUUGCUGAAACCUUUGAUGAUAAUGGAAUUACCGAUUGACAUUAAUGAAACACUCGCUGGCUGAAUUUUGUCUUAUUGUAACAAAUAUGAGAUAAUUAUUUGGUAGAAAGGCUCCUUGUUGUGGUGAAGAGGCUCUUGGUCUGAGGAAUCAGACCUGUCGGUCUCCUUCCUCAGACCGAACCUAAUUACCCCCCCCCCCCCCCUUUCCCAUCCUUCCCUUUUUCCUUUCCUCCUCCUCCCCACCCCUCCCUUUUGCCCUUCCUCUUUUUGGCCUUUGGGAUUUCUCCCACAGGCGCGCUAGUUCCUAGGUAGGGGAAAGGAUUCCGGGGUCCAUCCCAUUCCGUUGAGAUUCUUGGUGGUGGCGUAGUUUGCCGUGGAAUCUGGAUCGCCUGUGGAUGUCCCAAUCCCUCUCCGAUAUCCUGGAGUAGCUUUGGGUGUCUUUCUGGCGAUGAGUGUAUCUCUGGAAGCCACCUUUCGGAUUCCGGGGGUGGUGGCCAAAGGAGGUAUGCUUUGUGGCGGAUAUCCGGCCGCCCUCUCUUUUGUCCACCAAGGUAGCUCGGCAGAUGUGAGGUUGCUGUCCCGGAUUGCUGGUUUACUGGCAUGUAGGGUAGGGUAUGGCACGGCAUGGGUUCCAUGCUGCAUCUGCGCUACUAGCGGUGCUGAGGUCCUCUUGGGCGAGGAGGGAGAUUUCCGGCCUUUUUAUUCCUCCUGGGAACUAUUCCUCCCCGCUCCCCUUUUUUUAUUUUUUUUUUUAUUUUUAUUUUCUUUUCUUUCUUGGUUUUCCCUAAAAACAAAAAGCAAACUAGUAACCUAACCAUGGAGAACCCAAUCGUUGAACCCACUACCCCCGGGCCCCUUCUUGAUACCGCACCCCAUUCUGACCCUGCCUUGUUUUUAGACCACUCUUUGGACACUCCUGAUGCCCCUGUACCUCUUGCUGGUGCUGGUUCUUCACCCGCUUCAGGUACCGGGGCUUCAACUGACUCCUUCGAUUUGUCUGACCUUCGCUCUUUUUUGACUAUGCUUCCGGCCUCUCCCUCCACGGUACGGCAAUUUUCGAAUCGCCAGCCCAUUUCACACCGGACCAACUCCGGUCCUACUCCUAAACGCCAACAUCAAUCUCCUGAUGAUGCUCCUUCGUUACCUUCCCAUACUACUCGGAAAAGACAGACACGUCAUGCACUCCCUCUCCAUGCUCAGUUUCGGACCACACAAUGGACUAAAUUCUUUACUUUAAGACAGACUUUUUCUUCUGCUUACCUUUCUGACCAUAGUAUUGGCAAAGCGCUCAUACGUCAUGUUGGUAGAGAUAUUUCAUUUCAUGCUCUCAAGAGCGAUAUGCGCAUCGUCACUGUCCAGAAUGUUUACCCAAGCUCAUGAUC
Molecule: non-coding RNA, 3038 nt
Organism: Cherax quadricarinatus
Lineage: Eukaryota; Metazoa; Arthropoda; Malacostraca; Decapoda; Parastacidae
Source: RefSeq, a predicted model, not a curated record